GAAGAAGGAAGGCUACACUCACUC
Molecule: non-coding RNA, 24 nt
Filed under: Arabidopsis thaliana (thale cress)
Lineage: Eukaryota; Viridiplantae; Streptophyta; Magnoliopsida; Brassicales; Brassicaceae
Source: RNAcentral